RNAcentral lists this unclassified non-coding RNA (395 nucleotides) under Hevea brasiliensis (rubber tree). The record is from RNAcentral. Lineage: Eukaryota; Viridiplantae; Streptophyta; Magnoliopsida; Malpighiales; Euphorbiaceae.
AUUCCAUGUGUAACUAAAGCAUCAUACAGUUAAAAUAGACAGAGUAUCACCAUACAUCAAAAACAGUACACAUCCUUCUUGCAGUAUUUUAUUUAUUGUUUCUUAAAAUGAUUUGAAGUUAUAUCAUCUUCCAAGUCCAAACUGUGACAUGUCAGCUGAAUCAAAAUGUAUUCCUGCAAUAAGGUAAUCCCCAUGACACCCAAAAGAAGAAGGUUGUAAAUCAAAUCUAUGACAUUCUUUUGUGUGCAGAUGUACAUUCCAAUGACACAGCUUCAGGUGCAGUGCCUUUGAAGUAUCGUUUAAUUCAAACCUCUGAAAAGACUAAAACGGAGAAAUGAAAAGCAAAGAACUUUUUUGUUGCAAUUUCAAAUGAUAAGCCAAAUGGACAUGAUAUG